This is a long non-coding RNA of Arachis duranensis, 698 nucleotides long. RefSeq lists it as uncharacterized. The record is from RefSeq and is a predicted model, not a curated record. The transcript is spliced from 4 exons. Lineage: Eukaryota; Viridiplantae; Streptophyta; Magnoliopsida; Fabales; Fabaceae.
GCCGCUCUGUCUGGUUCCGUGUUGACUCGCGCCGCUGUGCAUGGCCGCCGGGAAACGCCAUUACUAUUGCCAGAAAACACUGCUAGUAAUAAGGUCUUGUUAAUGGAUUCUGUUUCUUUUGAAUUCUGAGAAUACCAUAGUCACGGCUUGUUGCUGCAGCGGUCAUCUAAGUCGCGUGGAAGGAGGAAGAGUCGCUGGGUGUCGCCGCACCUUGCCUCCGCCGCCUCUGCCACCGGAAACAGCCGCUGAGUCCUCGGUAUCGGGUCGUGUAUCCAUGCUUGCAUUUCGUGCUCGGAGUUUGCAGCUUCCUUGUUUUGUCAUUUCAGUAAAGCUACUUAUGCUGUUGCGUAAGUGGCGGGGCUGUGCUUUGAAGCUACUGUUGAUUUUGGGUCGAGACGAAAGAAAUUCUAAGACGUUUGGGUUAUGGUUUUGGCUUUUUGAGGAUAUGGACGCAGAAGUCACGAAGGGUUUAUUUAAUUGUUGUUGAGAUGUUCUGUAUUACUUUAGUUAUUGUUUAUUGUUCCCUCACCUUUAUCUUUAUAUAUUCUGUAGGAGGGAUAGGAUAUUGUAUUAGAUAAUGCUUGUAAUAUUAUUUAGGUAUAUAUAUGUAUAUGUGUAUGUACUCUUUGUGAGUUGUUGUAAGUGUAUUGUAUGUAUGGAUGUACUUUACAUAACAAAGCUAUUUUUGGAGCGGUAUU